Molecule: long non-coding RNA, 2006 nt
Organism: Oncorhynchus tshawytscha (Chinook salmon)
Lineage: Eukaryota; Metazoa; Chordata; Actinopteri; Salmoniformes; Salmonidae
Source: Ensembl
UGUAAAAAUCUGCAGACAAUUUUAUUAAAUUGACAAAAUGUUCAUCUGUACAGCAAAAAAAAAAGCACAAUGUAAAAUCUCAAUAUUACAUCGCGGCAUAACCUGAACAAAAAAUAUAACAGCAGAUCCAUAACGUUGUACAGAAAGAAAAGGACAAAACUGGUUAUCAGCAUCAGUCUGUUUCAAAGAAGUCUUCAAACCAACGAAAACAGACAGGAAGAAGGACAAACUUUUGUUUAAAAUGAAUAGAGCGUCCAGGUGUUGCUGAAGCAGGAGAGAGGUUCAGCUCCUGGAGAGCAGAGGAGCUUUGUGACCUUCUCAUGUAGUCCAAACGGUCUCACGGUGGGCCUCACUGUCCAGACUCUCCCCUCGUUUCUGUUUCCAGGGUUGAGAUGUGGAGGAUGGUGGUGCCAGAUUUACAACAGGGCCAGUUCUGGCCCAAGAGGACCUCUAAAGGGGCCUAAUGUUACUCUAAGGUCCAAGGCCCUUCUGUUAUUUUCAGAGAGAGACUGGAAGCCAAAACAGACACUCCAUCUAAACAUGAAUCAGAUUCUCAACUGCGAUACAUUUCUAGAAACAUAAAACCCUUUUACUUCCAUAUCACAUCGAAAUAAUUUAGCAAAUGUAAAAUACACAUUUCCUGAAGUGGUGUGAAGUCCUUUAGUGAAACGUUUUGGGGUAUCUGUACUACAUUCCUAAAAAUAAUGUACUUUUUACUCCAUACAUUUUCCCUGACACCCAAAAAGUACAUUUUGAAUGCUUAGCAGGACAGGAAAUGGUCUGAUUUAUACACUCAUCAAGAGAACAUGGUCAUUCAUACUUUUGAUCCGUAAGUAUAUUUUAGCAAUUAUGUUGACUUUUUAUACUGAUGUAUAUUUAAAACCAAAGACUUUCACUCAAAGAACAAACUUUUGUUUAAAAAUGAAUAGAGCGUCCAGGUGUUGCUGAAGCAGGAGAGAGGUCCAGCUCCUGGAGAGCAGAGGAGCUUUGUGACCUUCUCAUAAGGUCGUAUUUUACUGGGUGACUCACUUUUCUAUUAAAGUAUCAUUACUUUUACUCAGGUAUGAGAAUGUAUUUUUUACACUGCUGCUGUACACCGUUUUGACCAGCCGACAGAAUAUUUCAGUGACAACACGUUUUCUGGCGGUCUGCUUCCAUUACACACAGGUGUCAGGUGCACGCUAGAUAUCUAACUAGCACAGGUGUCAGGUGCACGCUAGAUAUCUAACUAGCACAGGCGUCAGGUGCACGCUAGAUAUCUAACUAGCACAGGCGUCAGGUGCAUGCUAGAUAUCUAAUUAGCACAGGUGUCAGGUGCACGCUAGAUAUCUAAUUAGCAUAGGUGUCAGGUGCAUGCUAGAUAUCUAAUUAGCACAGGUGUCAGGUGCAUGCUAGAUAUCUAAUUAGCACAGGUGUCAGGUGCAUGCUAGAUAUCUAAUUAGCACAGGUGUCAGGUGCACGCUAGAUAUCUAAUUAGCACAGGUGUCAGGUGCAUGCUAGAUAUCUAAUUAGGAUAGGUGGUGUCUCGGUGGUCCGUCGACACUGUAACAUGGAUUCAUUUAAACUGGACACAGCAGAUCAUCUAGAUGACAGCAUCAACAGAGAAAAUACCUUUCUGAAAACUCGCCCCCGACUCCAAAACCAUCUGAUUCCUAAUGAAAACGGAAAAACCUUUCUGAAAUAAAUAGCUUCUCAUUUUCAGUUUAUUGAGAAAUAAUUGUAAUUAUUGAAUUGGAAUUUCAGUUUAUUUCCUGAACUGACCGACUUCUAUUGGAAUGGAUCCCAACAGGCCCCUGACCUCUGACCUCUGUGGAGCAGGACAGAUUGAGGAUGCAUCCCAACAGGCCCCUGACCUCUGUGGAGCAGGACAGAUUGAGGAUGCAUCCCAACAGGCCCCUGACCUCUGUGGAGCAGGACAAAUUGAGGAUGCAUCCCAACAGGCCCUGACCUCUGUGGAGCAGGACAGAUUGAGGAUACAGGCCCCUGACCUCUGUGGAGCAGGACAG